RNAcentral lists this small RNA (67 nucleotides) under Acididesulfobacillus acetoxydans. RNAcentral describes it as "Peptococcaceae bacterium INE non-coding RNA". The record is from RNAcentral. Lineage: Bacteria; Bacillati; Bacillota; Clostridia; Eubacteriales; Peptococcaceae.
GUUUCAAUUCCUCAUAGGCAGGCUAUCGGCGAUUCAAGAGUGAAGAUUGAUGAAUCGAGGACCACGG